UACGUAGGUGCGAGCGUUGUCCGGAUUUACUGGGCGUAAAGGGAGCGUAGGCGGACUUUUAAGUGAGAUGUGAAAUACCCGGGCUCAACUUGGGUGCUGCAUUUCAAACUGGAAGUCUAGAGUGCAGGAGAGGAGAAUGGAAUUCCUAGUGUAGCGGUGAAAUGCGUAGAGAUUAGGAAGAACACCAGUGGCGAAGGCGAUUCUCUGGACUGUAACUGACGCUGAGGCUCGAAAGCGUGGGGAGCAAACAGGAUUAGAUACCCGUGUA
RNAcentral lists this ribosomal RNA (268 nucleotides) under uncultured prokaryote. Its description in RNAcentral is "partial 16S ribosomal RNA". It matches the Rfam family "Bacterial small subunit ribosomal RNA", at positions 524 to 792 of the family's 1533-position model. The record is from RNAcentral.